AAAAUUAGAGUGUUCAAAGCAGGCAGAUCCAAUUCUCUGCCACCGAAUACAUUAGCAUGGGAUAAUGGAAUAGGACCCUGUCCUCCUAUUUUCAGUUGGUUUUGGCAGCGCGAGGACUAGGGUAAUGAUUAAUAGGGAUAGUUGGGGGCAUUAAUAUUUAAUUGUCAGAGGUGAAAUUCUUGGAUUUAUGAAAGAUUAACUUCUGCGAAAGCAUCUGCCAAGGAUGUUUUCAUUAAUCAAGAACGAAAGUUAGGGGAUCGAAGACGAUCAGAUACCGUCGUAGUCUUAACCAUAAACGAUGCCGACCAGCGAUUAGGAGACGUUGAAUACAAAACACCACCAUCGGUGCGGUCGUUCUUGGCGUCGGUUUCGGCCGGCGCGGAGCGGCUAGCCCGGCCC
Molecule: ribosomal RNA, 399 nt
Filed under: Acanthamoeba sp. S8.JDP
Lineage: Eukaryota; Discosea; Longamoebia; Acanthamoebidae
Description: SSU rRNA
Rfam family: Eukaryotic small subunit ribosomal RNA
Source: RNAcentral